ACUCCCCCUUCCUGUCUUAAAGAUCCAUAAAAGCAGGGGCGCUUCCUGUUCUCCCUCUCUGUGCUCCCUGCCUCCCUGCUUACCAGCAUCACCAUCCUGUUCCUGAUUGUCUUUGUUUCACCACGUGGCCAUCACCCACGAGGUGGACAAACCCACCGACAUAAAAAUCUGGUCAUAUUCUAAUCCCAAAAUGCACCAGAUACACAACCAGACCAUCGUCAAAAAAGUUCAAGGAACUACUAUGUAUGGUCCCAUAAGAUUAGUAAAAUCAGAGUAUGACUUCCACAACAGCCUGAAGAGUAUCUAGGAGAGAAAAAUUGAGGCUGCAUUUGCAAGAGGAAAGGUCUCCAAACCCCACAGUUGUGCUGGUGGAUGGCAGGAUGAAUCUCUUCAUGCAUUCAGGCUUCUGCUGCUCAUUUAACACUGCUCCCACUGACAAAGAAAUAGCUACAGAAAACAACCACAAGAUAUUUUUCAGUAUUUCCUGAAUGAAGAAUUCAACUGAAUUUAUGCUUUUCCCUUCCAACAGGAAAGUAUAUUAGUGCUUUUCCAUCUGAUGCACUACCAAGCAUACAAACAUUGAGUCCAGUCACAUUAACUACAGCUAUCUGUCCCAAACCCAGGGUGGUUUUUGGAAGAAGCAGGUAAGUGUUUGUCCAACACCUAGGCAGAAAUAUUUGUCCAAUUACUAGGGUGUUGAUUGAGGAUUUGAUAACCUCACAUCAAUUGUCUGUAUGACUCUAUGCUUCAGUUACACAGAAUAUAAAUAUGAGCCACAGUCUCAUAUUAAAAACCAUCAACUCUAAAGCUUCACGCAGAGCUGUUCUUUUUCACUGUAUAAUAUGUAUGUAACAUGAGACAUAACCUUUGAAGAUCACUUCAAUUU
This is a long non-coding RNA of Pogoniulus pusillus (Red-fronted tinkerbird), 886 nucleotides long. RefSeq lists it as uncharacterized. NCBI's taxonomy places the organism in Eukaryota, Metazoa, Chordata, Aves, Piciformes, Lybiidae. The transcript is spliced from 2 exons. The record is from RefSeq and is a predicted model, not a curated record.